UACGUAGGGGGCUAGCGUUGUCCGGAAUCAUUGGGCGUAAAGAGUGUGUAGGCGGUUCUCUAAGUUCCGUGUGAAAUCUCCCGGCUCAACCGGGAGGGUGCGCGGAAAACUGGAGGGCUUGAGUAUGGGAGAGGAAAGCGGAAUUCCUGGUGUAGCGGUGAAAUGCGUAGAUAUCCGGAGGAACACCGGUGGCGAAGGCGGCUUCCUGGACCGACACUGACGCUGAGGCGCGAAAGCUAGGGGAGCAAACGGG
RNAcentral lists this ribosomal RNA (253 nucleotides) under uncultured bacterium. Its description in RNAcentral is "partial 16S ribosomal RNA". It matches the Rfam family "Bacterial small subunit ribosomal RNA", at positions 524 to 776 of the family's 1533-position model. The record is from RNAcentral.